RNAcentral lists this non-coding RNA (117 nucleotides) under Gorilla gorilla gorilla (western lowland gorilla). Lineage: Eukaryota; Metazoa; Chordata; Mammalia; Primates; Hominidae. The record is from Rfam by way of RNAcentral.
GCUGGGCAUGGUGGCUCAUGCCUGUAAUCCCAGCACUUUGGGAGGCUGAGGUGGGUGGAUCACCUGAGGUCAGGAGUUCGAGGCCACCCUGGCCAACAUGGUGAAACCCCAUCUCUA